RNAcentral lists this long non-coding RNA (3463 nucleotides) under Sus scrofa (pig). Its description in RNAcentral is "lncRNA (ENSSSCG00000041869.2)". The record is from RNAcentral. Lineage: Eukaryota; Metazoa; Chordata; Mammalia; Artiodactyla; Suidae.
CUUUUUGUCUUUUUCUAGGGCCGAACCCACGGCAUGUGAAGGUUCCCAGGACAGGGGUCGAAUCGGAGCUGUAGCCACCGGCCGACGCCACAGCCACAGCAACUCGGGAUCCAAGCUGCGUCUGCGACCUACACCACAGCUCACGGCAACGUCGGAUCCUUAACCCACUGACCGAGGCCAGGGAUCGAACCCGCAACCCCAUGGUUCCUAGUCGGAGUCUUUAAACCACUGAGCCAUGCAGGGAACUGCAGACAAUAAGUUCUUAAUACCAUCAAGUGUCCUGUGACCGACUGCUCAUCUUUUCCCAACCCUCUCAUGAUAUUUUUAGUUUCUUUAAACCAGGAUGCAAGUAAGUUUCAUACUUCACGAUUGGCUUAUACGGUUUUUUAAGUCUCCUUAGCCUGUAGGUUUCCCGUCCAUCUCAUGUUUUCCCCCCUUGCGAUAUACUUGUUGCGGAAACCGGACCUACUGUUGCUCACAAACCGGAUUUUGCCGAUUGUCUCCUCGGGGUGUCCCUUAAAAUGCUCCUCUGUUCCGGGCAGGUCCCCUCACUUGGGAGCUAGAGCUGACUUGGCAGUCAGACCUCCAGACUGGAUCACAUUCAGACCUCGUUUGGCGGCGCCCUGUAGGUGAUGUCACGUAUCAGACUCGCGGCGUCUGGACAACUUUCUCCUUGCGCUAUGGGCGGCCUUGGGUGGUCACUGCCGGGAUUCAUUCACUCCCUGGCGGUGCCCCAGUCUAGCAACCCUUCUGCUAUUAGCUGCAGUACGUCUGAAAGAGACCCUUCUUUGCAAACAAAGAAGCACCAAGAGCCUCGCUCACCGCCCGGUUCGCCGGUGAGGCCCUCCGCCGCGCCGGGAGCUCGCCCCUGGGAGGAGGCAGGAUGAGCGUCAGGACGGGGCCCUCUGUGCUUCGGAAAAACCUACACAGUUAAGUGUGUGCCUCAGGGAGAACUGCACGAACCCACAUUCUUGCAUCUGUCCACACAGAGAAAGCCACUGAAGCCACUGGCUUGGAAUACUGGUUCUUUGCGACCAGCGUAACCUCUUACCAAGAUGCGUGUCAGGCUUACAGGCGAGAUGUAAGGCUGUUUAUCCCUCCUCUCUGGAGCCGAGGCUGCCUCCUGAGCUGCAACCUAAACUCACAACUCUUAUGCUGUGCGUUGUUAAGUUAACCGUCUCAUCAACUGCUUGGUUACGCAGAGAGACACCUCACACAGGAGAGAGGAAUGCUUCACUAGGCCCAUUAAUAAACCAAAAAAGCCACAGAGGCACCGCCUGGCCCAGGCUCUGCCAUCAAGUGACAUUAUCAGUGGGCCAGACCGUGCCUGCGACUCGCUGGAAGAAAUGGGGAGCCGAGCCCCAGCACCAGGCCUCGUCCCCAGGCUGGGGGCUGCUGAGGCUGUGGUGGCCUGGACCAGGCACGGAGAGAGCCCGGGUCCCUCCCCGCCUGCUGGGCUUGGCCUCGGCACGUCUUGGUCCGCUGGAGGCCAGCGGUGCCGCAGCUCCCAGGAAGCCCAGGCGAAUCCUCGCGGCACAAAGGCAAGGCAGCUCUGUUUCUGCCAGAGCUCAGGCUCAGGCGCUGUAACGCCACGAUGCAUCACAGAUGCCCAAACGGCUUAGAGAGAGGCCCGCAGUGCUCCCUCAGUAACCGGCGGAGGGGGAAGCAGGCAGUUGGAGGCGGGUGGACGGUCCUGCUCCCUGAGCUUGUCAAAGAACCGAGGCUCCUACGUCACCACCCUCUGGGACGCCACGUCCACCUGCAGGACCCGAGGCUUGUCCGGGUUCCUGUCACAAGGAAGGGGAGAGAGAGGAAGUGCGAGACAGCCAAAGUCCCGUAAAACCCGCGCCUUGGAGCUGGGACAGCCGCUGCUCCUCGCGGUCACCUGGCUGGAACCUGGGCCCGAGAGGCGUCUGUGCACAGGAGGCGGGAGGCGGGGAGGGACGGCGGCACAAUUCCCGGGAACGGAUCCUGGCAACGACUGGCAGGCCCUGCCGCCGGGUGAAAGUGGCGACUGGCGACUGGGGACAGCCUCGCAGACCUCAAACCUUGUCGCGCGCAAGGCCUCCCUGGGCUGGGGUCUGUAGGACAAGGUCCCCGCCCCAAAGCCGGGGCCCACGGCGCCCCCCCUCCGAGAGGCUCCGCCCUGCGCAUCAGGUGCCAAAGUGCACACGCGGCCAGCGGGGCAGGCGGUCUCUAAAGUGAGAUCUGGAAACUGUACAGUUUUGCUUUUGGAAUUAUUUGGUGAGGGUAAGUCACUUAAUUUACACUUGGCUCAAUCUUAGCCAAUCCUCUUGCGUGUGCAGAAUUUCUUGUGAGGUGAAGAUUCUAACCUACGCGUUAUUUUCAAGUGUAGAAGAAUUCUGACAUGCUAUGAAAUAGCUAUGAAACUAACAAUGAGUUUAACAGGAUGGUACGGUUUAUGGUAUCUAAUUUAGGUUUUCCCCUUUUAAUUCUGAUUCUUCUUCAGGACUUGUAUUUCCACAGGCCCCCGACGAGCCCUCAGACCACGGAUCCUCCGCCCGCACCGCCUAGUGAAUGAAACGGCCACCGGCCGCCCGCAGGGAGGGGCGGUCUGCGCGGACCCACUGCCAGGGCGGGGCUUGCUCGGGGGAGGGGCUUGCUCUAGCAGGUGCUGUGGCCCCUGAGGAACGGGGCGCAGAGAGGCUGGGGCCUACAGAAGGCUGGGAGCAAUAAGAUCGGCAAGAAGAGAAACACAGCGGAUCGCUCGGAGCAGGGCUGGCAACGGUUAGGUUCUCGCGCUAGUCCGAGAAGGGGCUGGAGGGCUUAGCGAAAUGUCCCGGGUCUCAUCGAGAGCGUUAACACGGGAUUAAGCCAAGAGCUCACGGGCGCCCAGGCAGCUCCCCAAGCCGUCCAGCGUCGUGCACGCAGACCUGUCACUGCUGCCAUGGAAACCCGCCUCCCUGCGACCUACAGCCACCAGGGAGGCCUCCGCAGCCCCUCUGCUUUGCUUUUCCUCUGCGUCUUUUCUUUUGCUUUCCUUUGUAUGUUUAGAUAGCUACCACUAGACCUGGGCCUGGGCUGCAAGGGCUGCUGGCACGUGAAGCUACGGACACAUUUGGCUUCUACAGGGAGGAGAGAGCUGGGCUUCCCAAGACCCCUGAGGUGGGGGCUCCCCUCAGACGGAAGGAGAUGCACAGCCCGCCCAGUUAAAGUGAACGACAAACACGCACUGCAGCGUCCUUGACCCUCAGUGCGGAGGGCACGGGCAGAGAGGGGAGCUGGGGCUGGGGCUUCUCCCGGAAAAGGCCCUCCGAAGCCGGGGGCAUCCGAGACAGGCUUGCCCCGGCUCCGGCCCCGGCCCUGCUGCCUGCACGUGAAAGAGCGGCUGUGGCUGCACAGCCAGAGCAGGGCCCAGGCCUUCCCCGCAGGGAGGCCCCCCGUUCGAUGUGUGGCCGGAGCUUUACCAGGAGCAUCACGUUACCAUCUCCGGAGCUGUGGA